CAGGAUUAGAUACCNUGGUAGUCCACGCCGUAAACGAUGAGUGCUAGGUGUUAGACCCUUUCCGGGGUUUAGUGCCGCAGCUAACGCAUUAAGCACUCCGCCUGGGGAGUACGACCGCAAGGUUGAAACUCAAAGGAAUUGACGGGGGCCCGCACAAGCGGUGGAGCAUGUGGCUUAAUUCGAAGCAACGCGAAGAACCUUACCAGGUCUUGACAUCCCUCUGACCGCUCUAGAGAUAGAGUUUUCCUUCGGGACAGAGGUGACAGGUGGUGCAUGGUUGUCGUCAGCUCGUGUCGUGAGAUGUUGGGUUAAGUCCCGCAACGAGCGCAACCCCUAUUGUUAGUUGCCAUCAUUCAGUUGGGCACUCUAGCGAGACUGCCGGUAAUAAACCGGAGGAAGGCGGGGAUGACGUCAAAUCAUCAUGCCCCUUAUGACCUGGGCUACACACGUGCUACAAUGGCUGGUACAACGAGUCGCAAGCCGGUGACGGCAAGCUAAUCUCUUAAAGCCAGUCUCAGUUCGGAUUGUAGGCUGCAACUCGCCUACAUGAAGUCGGAAUCGCUAGUAAUCGCGGAUCAGCACGCCGCGGUGAAUACGUUCCCGGGCCUUGUACACACCGCCCGUCACACCACGAGAGUUUGUAACACCCGAAGUCGGUGAGGUAACCAUUNGGAACCA
RNAcentral lists this ribosomal RNA (678 nucleotides) under uncultured bacterium. RNAcentral describes it as "bacterial SSU rRNA". It matches the Rfam family "Bacterial small subunit ribosomal RNA", at positions 773 to 1451 of the family's 1533-position model. The record is from RNAcentral.